GAUGAACGCUGGCGGCGUGCCUAAUACAUGCAAGUCGAGCGAAUGGAUUAAGAGCUUGCUCUUAUGAAGUUAGCGGCGGACGGGUGAGUAACACGUGGGUAACCUGCCCAUAAGACUGGGAUAACUCCGGGAAACCGGGGCUAAUACCGGAUAACAUUUUGAACCGCAUGGUUCGAAAUUGAAAGGCGGCUUCGGCUGUCACUUAUGGAUGGACCCGCGUCGCAUUAGCUAGUUAGUGAGGUAACGGCUCACCAAGGCAACGAUGCGUAGCCGCCCUGAGAGGGGGAUCGGCCACACUGGGACUGAGACACGGCCCAGACUCCUACGGGAGGCAGCAGUAGGGAACCUUCCGCAAUGGACGAAAGUCUGACGGAGCAACGCCGCGUGAGUGAGGAAGGCUUUCGGGUCGUAAAACUCUGUUGUUAAGGAAGAACAAGUGCUAGUUGAAUAAGCUGGCACCUUGACGGUACCUAACCAGAAAGCCACGGCUAACUACGUGCCAGCCGCCGCGGUAA
RNAcentral lists this ribosomal RNA (515 nucleotides) under uncultured bacterium. RNAcentral describes it as "partial 16S ribosomal RNA". It matches the Rfam family "Bacterial small subunit ribosomal RNA", at positions 28 to 523 of the family's 1533-position model. The record is from RNAcentral.